Molecule: ribosomal RNA, 122 nt
Filed under: Klebsiella pneumoniae
Lineage: Bacteria; Pseudomonadati; Pseudomonadota; Gammaproteobacteria; Enterobacterales; Enterobacteriaceae
Description: partial 23S ribosomal RNA
Rfam family: Bacterial large subunit ribosomal RNA
Source: RNAcentral
CUAUAAGUCUCCUGAAGGAACGUUAAAGACGAUGACGUUGAUAGGCCGGGUGUGUAAGCGCAGCGAUGCGUUGAGCUAACCGGUACUAAUGAACCGUGAGGCUUAACCUUACAACGCCGAAG